AUACGGAGGGUGCAAGCGUUACUCGGAAUCACUGGGCGUAAAGGAUGCGUAGGCGGAUAAUCAAGUCAAAAGUGAAAUCCUACAGCUUAACUGUAGAACUGCUUUCGAAACUGGUUAUCUAGAAUAUGCAAGAGGCAGAUGGAAUUAGUGGUGUAGGGGUAAAAUCCGUAGAGAUCACUAGGAAUACCGAUUGCGAAGGCGAUCUGCUGGGACAUUAUUGACGCUGAGGCAUGAAAGCGUGGGGAGCAAACAGUAUUAGAAACCCUAGUAGUCC
This 274-nucleotide ribosomal RNA is filed under the name uncultured bacterium. Its description in RNAcentral is "partial 16S ribosomal RNA". It matches the Rfam family "Bacterial small subunit ribosomal RNA", at positions 523 to 796 of the family's 1533-position model. The record is from RNAcentral.